GUGGGGAAUAUUGGACAAUGGGGGGAACCCUGAUCCAGCCAUGCCGCGUGUGUGAAGAAGGCCUUUUGGUUGUAAAGCACUUUAAGCGAGGAGGAGGCUACCGAGAUUAAUACUCUUGGAUAGUGGACGUUACUCGCAGAAUAAGCACCGGCUAACUCUGUGCCAGCAGCCGCGGUAAUACAGAGGGUGCAAGCGUUAAUCGGAUUUACUGGGCGUCAAGCGCGCGUAGGUGGCCAAUUAAGUCAAAUGUGAAAUCCCCGAGCUUAACUGGGGAAGUGCAUUCGAUACUGGUUGGCUAGAGUAUGGGAGAGGAUGGUAGAAUUCCAGGUGUAGCGGUGAAAUGCGUAGAGAUCUGGAGGAAUACCGAUGGCGAAGGCAGCCAUCUGGCCUAAUACUGACACUGAGGUGCGAAAGCAUGGGGAGCAAACAGGAUUAGAAACCCCAGUAGUCC
RNAcentral lists this ribosomal RNA (451 nucleotides) under uncultured bacterium. RNAcentral's name for it is "bacterial SSU rRNA". It matches the Rfam family "Bacterial small subunit ribosomal RNA", at positions 354 to 796 of the family's 1533-position model. The record is from RNAcentral.